Molecule: ribosomal RNA, 504 nt
Filed under: uncultured bacterium
Lineage: Bacteria
Description: bacterial SSU rRNA
Rfam family: Bacterial small subunit ribosomal RNA
Source: RNAcentral
AUUGAACGCUGGCGGCAUGCUUUACACAUGCAAGUCGAACGGGGUGGUGGGGCAACCCGCCAUUCAGUGGCGAACGGGUGAGUAAUGCAUCGGAACGUGUCCCGUAGUGGGGGAUAACCCGGCGAAAGCCGGACUAAUACCGCAUAUGCUCUGCGGAGGAAAGCGGGGGACCUGAAAGGGCCUCGCGCCAUGGGAGCGGCCGAUGUCCGAUUAGCUAGUUGGUGGGGUAACGGCUCACCAAGGCUUCGAUCAGUAUCCGGCCUGAGAGGGCGGACGGACACACUGGGACUGAGACACGGCCCAGACUCCUACGGGAGGCAGCAGUGGGGAAUUGUUCGCAAUGGGCGCAAGCCUGACGACGCAACGCCGCGUGGAGGAUGAAGAUUUUCGGAUCGUAAACUCCUGUCGAGUGGGAAGAAUAGCUUCCGGGCGAAUAUCCCGGAAGUCUGACGGUACCACUAAAGGAAGCCCCGGCUAACUCCGUGCCAGCAGCCGCGGUAAUAC